This 231-nucleotide unclassified non-coding RNA is filed under the name Mollisia panicicola. RNAcentral describes it as "Acidomelania panicicola partial internal transcribed spacer region". The stretch from base 1 to 48 matches the Rfam family "Eukaryotic small subunit ribosomal RNA", at positions 1784 to 1831 of the family's 1831-position model. The record is from RNAcentral. Lineage: Eukaryota; Fungi; Ascomycota; Leotiomycetes; Helotiales; Mollisiaceae.
AAAAGUCGUAACAAGGUUUCCGUAGGUGAACCUGCGGAAGGAUCAUUAAUAAAAGGAUACCUUCGGGUAUACCCCAUCCGUGUCUACAUACUCUUGUUGCUUUGGCAGGCCGUGGUCUUCCACUGUGGGCUCUGCCUGCAUGUGCCUGCCAGAGGACCAAACUCUGAAUGUUAGUGAUGUCCGAGUACUAUAUAAUAGUUAAAACUUUCAACAACGGAUCUCUUGGUUCUG